GUGGGGAAUAUUGGACAAUGGGCGCAAGCCUGAUCCAGCCAUACCGCGUGGGUGAAGAAGGCCUUCGGGUUGUAAAGCCCUUUUGUUGGGAAAGAAAUCCUGUCGAUUAAUACUCGGUGGGGAUGACGGUACCCAAAGAAUAAGCACCGGCUAACUUCGUGCCAGCAGCCGCGGUAAUACGAAGGGUGCAAGCGUUACUCGGAAUUACUGGGCGUAAAGCGUGCGUAGGUGGUGGUUUAAGUCUGCUGUGAAAGCCCUGGGCUCAACCUGGGAAUUGCAGUGGAUACUGGAUCACUAGAGUGUGGUAGAGGGAUGCGGAAUUUCUGGUGUAGCAGUGAAAUGCGUAGAGAUCAGAAGGAACAUCCGUGGCGAAGGCGGCAUCCUGGGCCAACACUGACACUGAGGCACGAAAGCGUGGGGAGCAAACAGGAUUAGAUACCCCGGUAGUCC
This 450-nucleotide ribosomal RNA is filed under the name uncultured bacterium. RNAcentral's name for it is "partial 16S ribosomal RNA". It matches the Rfam family "Bacterial small subunit ribosomal RNA", at positions 354 to 796 of the family's 1533-position model. The record is from RNAcentral.